This 87-nucleotide non-coding RNA is filed under the name Puniceibacterium sp. IMCC21224. Its description in RNAcentral is "Glycine riboswitch aptamer". It matches the Rfam family "Glycine riboswitch aptamer". Rfam says of the family: This family represents the bacterial glycine riboswitch. Glycine riboswitches usually consist of two metabolite-binding aptamers domains with similar structures in tandem. The record is from Rfam by way of RNAcentral. Lineage: Bacteria; Pseudomonadati; Pseudomonadota; Alphaproteobacteria; Rhodobacterales; Paracoccaceae. RNAcentral also lists the same sequence under 1 other name.
CACGUCACGACGGGAGAACCGGGUUAUCCGGUGCCGAAGGAGCAACCGCCCCGGAAACUCUCAGGCCCAAGGGACCGUCGCGACCAA